CUCACCCAACGUCAUAUUUUUAAUAAUUUGUAAAUUUUCUGUGUUCAUUUUUACAAGUAGAAAUAAAUUCAAUUCACUGUAAUUAUUUUUACCGACUUAUCCAUUUACAACACUUUGGUAUACCUGUCACUAUUCUGGUCAGUCAACUUCAACAGUACUUCGGAUCAUACAAGAUACAGUUUUCUGCCGGUCGCGUUGAAACAUGUUGGGAGACAGCUUAAAACUGCGUUUUCGAAUGAUGAAAGGGAACACAAAUUGAUAGAUUACAUUGAAACUACAUAAUAUGUCGCACUGCAGGGAAAUCAGUCAUCAGAGAGACUCCGAGAAUGGAACCACCAAUUAGUUCCUCCCCCGUUAUAUUUAACAGAAUUAUGGUCAACAGUUCGAUGGGUUGAAUUUGUAAUGCAGGAAAACACUAUAUAGCACUAGCAGUGGAUAAUCUGCAGGGCAUAGUCAUCGUUUGAAUAGAUCACCGGACGUAAAAUAAUACAAUUAUGAACUUCCAGAACACAUUGAACCAUUUUGAGUAG
Long non-coding RNA from Acyrthosiphon pisum (pea aphid), 530 nucleotides. RefSeq lists it as uncharacterized. The record is from RefSeq and is a predicted model, not a curated record. NCBI's taxonomy places the organism in Eukaryota, Metazoa, Arthropoda, Insecta, Hemiptera, Aphididae. The transcript is spliced from 3 exons.